AUUAAUGACAUUUUGCAUAUGGCCAUCCAAAAUUGUUAGGUCAAGCUGAUAGUGCAUAGAAGCCACAAUAUAAUAAACAGAGGUCUCAUAUAUUAAAAUGACUAUGCUUGUUUACAAGAACAAGAUCCAACGAUUACAAAAUGCGAAACUAUCUAGUUGCCCAAUUCUCAACCUUGCAAUCAAAGUCGAAUUAUUCUAAAACAUACUGUCUCAAACAUUGACCCUAAAUGACAAUUCUACAACAGAAUGUGGAACUAUUAGGGAGUAACCCCAUUGAGCAAUAUGUAGCGUCCUCCCUUGUCCCACACCGCCUUCUGAUCUCCACCUUGCGGCACCUCUCAAUUUUCUUCUUGCAUGCUCCAGCAAACUUGUGUUAUUAAAGGCCACAUGACACUGUUGAUGUUUUCUAGCUUUCAUUCUGUAUAGUAUCAGAUAGAAAAAGAAUAGAGCAACCUAACAAUCAGCAUGUAGCUACCAUGUGUACGUAUUUGAUAAGAAAAUAUAUAUCACAUCUCAAUUGAAAACUGCAUGAAUCCGUUUGUGCUGAGCCAAACCAUUCCCAUUGAAGAAACACGGUGAGAGCGUAAGAACAGAUCUUACCUAGCUUGUGACUGAUGGGUCCUUACUCUUAUGUGUAAGUGGUCAUAAUGUACGUCUGCAGCCAACUCUGUACAAAUACAAGAAAACCUUACAAAAUAAAAUACGUGAAGAUGGCAAUGAAUAGCUUAUCUGAACUGGCAAUGCGUAGCUUAUUCUGAACUUCUUGUGGAUUCAGGUACGUAGAAUGAAUAGAAACAACAUAAAAUAGGUGAAGAUGGUGCAAAAUAAAAUUGGGAUAUUUGCAUUAUGAGAUCAUGAACAAUACAUAAGAAAUGAAUAAUGGUCGACUAAACUAACUGAGUGACGUAUACAAACUUAAUCGAACCUCAAUAUGAUACAUAAUUUCGUACUAUUUUCCUGUUGUUGUAUGCAAAAGAAAUUUCGGUUGUACAAUUUAGUUAAGUUAACAUACAAGUCACGAUGAACUCAACUACAAAAUUGCUACAGGAUCCAUCAUAUAAACGAAGAUCCAUCAUAUAAACGAUUAAUGCUUCAGACUCUCAGUUAAUUAUUGGUGAAUUGCACCAUAAAGACAUCCAAAGUAAAAAAACAGAAUAGUUCAUAUAUUUCUUCCAAUAAAAAUAAAUGAUCAACUACUUGCAGACUUGAUCGGCCAUAUAGACUGUAGUGUAGAUGGUGGCCAAUUGUGAUAUUAUUCUUGAUUCCACUGGGAGGAUUUGUACAGCAUAAAAAAAACCACGCCAUGGCAUGAAGCACUCAAGCUCACCCGAAAAUCUCAUGUUGUUUCUUUUCCAUUUCUGGUGGCUGUCAAAAGCAUAAUAUGACCAUGUCUAAAUAAAUUUUAGGAGUAUGCUAGAACAACAUAUGAAUGAUGAAUGUAUGAUUCUACAAAGCAAAUGGUAAAACCAAACAGUAGUACAAAGGUUAUGCUUUAUGAGUAUAUGCCUAACUCAACGAUAGUUGGUUAAUCAUUAGGAUAAAAUGCUAGUCUUUUAUCUGAGGUGCGGAAUGAACCACAUCUACCAGAAACUUUAAUGUCAAAAUCUUUGCAGAAAAUGCAACCAAAUACUCCAUGUAUAGGUAAUCAGAGGGUUCGGCAACUCUGCUGUUAUGUUGUGACUGUGCGGAUGUUGUAGCUUCAAAAUCCACCAUCCACUCUAAUCCAAAGGCUCUCCUUCAUCUUCCUCGUUUCUCUCAUUAAUUAAAAAACACCACACAACCACGCCGCACGUUCCUCAAGUUCCCUGCACCGGUGGACCGGCCAGCCAGGUUGUCCACACAGCCGCGUUGAUUUAGCCGGCACACAUGGCGCCGGGACGUCAAAGGCCAGUAGCUCAACUAUGUAUGAUCAAUCAACUCUACAUCAAAGAAAUACUAACUCUGCAUGUCUGGUGACUCCAUGUUUAGUAGCCACAUAACGCCUUGUUCGACAUAUCCUAAAGGAGGUUGGCAAGCGCUCGACCUCCGACAUCGCCGUCGCUGUGCGUUUGGGCUUCACGAGCAUGGCUGCGGCGGCAACAUAACAUCUUGAUUUUAGAAGCCAUGAGCUCCUGGCGUUUGGCAUUGCGGCGGCGUUGGUGCCGGCUUAACCAACACGGACACAUGGACUUGUGGACAAUCUGGCUGGCCGGUCUACCGAUGCAGGGAGCUUGAAGAACACCAUCGUGGGCUGUGAUGGUGUUGUGUUUUUUUUUAAUUAAUGAGAGAAACGAGGAAGAUGAAGGAGAGCCUUUGGAUUUGAGUGAAUGGUAUAUUUUGAAGCUACAGCAUCCGCACAGUCACAACAUAACAGCAGAGGAGCCAAACCCGUAAUCAGAAUAUUAUUGUGCAAAAGGCUGAACAUACCAAAAAAAGGAUUAUGCAGAGCAUCAUUAGGGGAUCCUAGUUGUGGAGGACACCGCCGGGAAAUAGCAUUGGACCUGAUUGUAGCGAAACACCAAUCAUUACACAUCCAUCUGCCUCUAAAGAUACAAGUAAUUGACAUCGAAGUGCACUAAAGCAGGUUAAUCCCUCACACUAUUAGCCAAGGCAAGGUAAAGAUUAUAACACGAUCGGCUUAUCUAUUUGCAGAUCUAUUGCCAAUAGUUUGAAAACUUAUCUGUAGGACAAUUUUAUAAUACAUACACAUACAAAUUGCAUCAGAUAAAACAAAAUUGGGUAUGAAUAUUAAAGCCACAUGCUCGCAAUCCAUAACACAUUCAGGUUACCCAAAUAUGUUGUGUCUGACAAACUAUUAACCCAAUCACAUGACGAUAUAGUGAACACAAAUCUUAUUAGUGGCCAGGUAAGUGUGGUACUAACCUCGACGCCAUGACAUACUUGAGAUUUACAGAUCUCGGAGAUUACAUGAUAU
Molecule: long non-coding RNA, 2914 nt
Filed under: Triticum aestivum (bread wheat)
Lineage: Eukaryota; Viridiplantae; Streptophyta; Magnoliopsida; Poales; Poaceae
Description: long non-coding RNA (TAES_LNC016448)
Source: RNAcentral